AUGGAGAGCUACCUCAACGAGAACUUCGGGGGCGUCAAGCCCAAGCACUCCUCCGACGAGGCGCUGGGCCGAUGGCGCAAGGUCGUCGGCGUCGUCAAGAACCCCAAGCGCCGCUUCCGCUUCACCGCCAACCUCGGCAAGCGAUCCGAGGCCGCCGCCAUGAAGCGGACCAACCAGGAGAAGCUGCGUGUUGCCGUGCUUGUUUCAAAGGCUGCACUUCAGUUCAUCCAUGGUCUUGCUCCCCAGAGCGAGUACACAGUCCCUGCCGCAGUCAAGGCAGCAGGCUACGGCAUCUGUGCUGAGGAACUGAGCUCUGUUGUCGAGAGCCACGACAUCAAGAAGCUGAAAGCACAUGGCGGCACCGAGGGCCUCCUAUCAAAGGUGUCUACCUCAGAGUCGGAUGGCGUCAGCACAUCCAAGGACAAGCUUGCAUCCCGGCAGGAGAUCUUUGGCAUCAACAAAUUCGCCGAGACGGAGGCCCGCAGCUUCUGGGUCUUUGUCUGGGAGGCGCUCCACGACAUGACACUCAUGAUCCUUGCUGCAUGUGCCUUCUUCUCGCUCGUCGUCGGCAUUGCCACCGAGGGGUGGCCCAAGGGCGCGCAUGAUGGCCUCGGCAUCGUCGCUAGUAUUCUUCUGGUUGUGUUUGUCACUGCGACAAGCGACUACCGGCAAUCCCUGCAGUUCAAGGACCUUGACAAGGAGAAGAAGAAGAUCACGGUGCAGGUCAUCCGGAGUGGGUACCGGCAGAAGCUCUCGAUAUACGAGCUUCUCGUUGGUGACAUUGUGCACCUUUCCAUUGGUGAUCAAGUACCAGCUGACGGUUUGUUCGUAUCAGGAUUCUCGUUGCUGAUUAAUGAAUCAAGCCUGACUGGGGAGAGUGAACCAGUUGCUGUCAAUGCCGAGAACCCAUUCCUUUUGUCAGGAACUAAAGUGCAGGAUGGUUCUUGCAAGAUGCUUGUGACGACAGUCGGCAUGAGGACUCAAUGGGGUAAACUCAUGGCCACCCUCAGUGAAGGCGGGGAUGAUGAGACGCCAUUGCAGGUCAAGCUGAACGGCGUUGCCACCAUCAUUGGCAAAAUAGGCCUCGUCUUUGCUGUUGUCACAUUUGCAGUGCUCACUGAAAGCCUGUUCCGCCGCAAGAUCAUGGAUGGUUCGUACUUGAGUUGGAGUGGAGAUGAUGCACUGGAGCUGCUUGAGUUCUUUGCUAUUGCUGUUACUAUUGUUGUUGUAGCAGUUCCUGAAGGCUUACCGCUCGCCGUGACCUUGAGCCUUGCAUUUGCCAUGAAGAAGAUGAUGAAUGACAAGGCGCUUGUCCGACACCUUGCAGCUUGUGAGACCAUGGGCUCAGCAACCUCCAUUUGCAGUGACAAGACUGGCACACUCACAACAAAUCACAUGACUGUCGUCAAGGCUUGCAUCUGUGGCAAAAUUAAAGAAGUGGAAAAAUCUUCAGACGCCAAGAGCUUAUUCUCCGAGCUACCGGAUUCUGUCAUGACAAUGCUCUCGCAGUCCAUAUUUAACAACACUGGUGGCGAUGUUGUCAUCAACCAGGAUGGCAAACGCGAAAUACUGGGCACACCAACUGAGGCAGCAAUUUUAGAGCUUGGCCUGUCACUCGGUGGAGAUUUCCAGGCAGUGCGAAAAGCAACCACCCUCAUCAAAGUCGAGCCAUUUAACUCAGCAAAGAAGAGAAUGGGAGUGGUCAUCCAGCUGCCAGGGGGUGCAUUCCGUGCUCACUGCAAAGGUGCAUCAGAGAUCAUAUUGGCAUCUUGCAGCAAGUACCUGAAUGAUCAAGGCAAUGCCGUCCCCCUUGACAGUGCAACUGUUGCUCACUUGAAUGCCACGAUUGAGAGCUUUGCAAAUGAGGCACUUCGCACUCUGUGCCUUGCUUACAUUGAAGUUGCAGAUGGGUUCUCAGCUAAUGAUGCGAUUCCUGAAGAGGGGUACACAUGCAUUGGCAUUGUUGGGAUUAAAGAUCCAGUGCGCCCAGGUGUGAAGGAAUCUGUUGCCAUCUGCAGGUCAGCCGGUAUUACUGUCAGGAUGGUCACAGGCGACAACAUUAACACAGCAAAGGCAAUUGCCCGGGAAUGUGGCAUUUUGACUGAAGGUGGUCUUGCCAUUGAAGGCCCAGAUUUUAGAACUAAGAGUGCAGAAGAAAUGUACAAAUUGAUACCAAAGAUACAGGUGAUGGCUAGGUCUUCACCACUUGACAAGCACACCUUAGUGAAGAAUCUCCGGACUACACAUGAAGAAGUUGUUGCCGUGACUGGUGACGGGACAAAUGAUGCACCCGCACUUCAUGAGGCUGAUAUUGGACUUGCGAUGGGCAUUGCUGGAACUGAGGUUGCAAAAGAGAGUGCCGAUGUCAUUAUUCUUGAUGACAACUUCUCCACUAUAGUCACGGUUGCCAAAUGGGGUCGAUCUGUGUACAUCAACAUUCAGAAGUUUGUGCAGUUUCAACUGACAGUCAACGUGGUUGCCCUAGUUGUGAACUUCUCGUCAGCUUGCAUGACAGGGAGUGCUCCCCUUACUGCUGUUCAGUUGCUCUGGGUCAAUAUGAUCAUGGACACACUAGGAGCAUUGGCAUUGGCCACAGAACCUCCAAACGAUGAACUGAUGAAGAGGACCCCUGUUGGAAGGAAAGGAAACUUCAUUAGCAACAUUAUGUGGAGGAACAUCAUGGGACAGGCAAUCUACCAGUUCUUUGUAAUUUGGUAUCUGCAGACCGAAGGAAAGACGUUGUUUGAACUUAAGGGUGAUAAUUCCGAUCUAGUCUUGAACACGCUCAUCUUCAAUUGCUUUGUGUUCUGCCAGGUGUUCAACGAGGUGAGCUCCAGAGAGAUGGAGAGGAUAAAUGUAUUCAGAGGCAUUCUAGACAACAACGUGUUCGUCGCGGUGCUCGGCAGCACGGUCUUAUUCCAGAUCAUCAUAGUACAGUUCCUUGGCGAUUUCGCCAACACCACCCCUCUGUCACUCAGGGAGUGGUUCUCCUGCAUCGUCAUCGGCUUCAUAGGCAUGCCUAUCGCCGCGAUAGUCAAGCUCUUCCCAGUGGGUUCUCAGUAG
This 3063-nucleotide ribosomal RNA is filed under the name Triticum aestivum (bread wheat). RNAcentral describes it as "partial small subunit ribosomal RNA". Lineage: Eukaryota; Viridiplantae; Streptophyta; Magnoliopsida; Poales; Poaceae. The record is from RNAcentral.